CCCGCUGAACUUAAGCAUAUCAAUAAGCGGAGGAAAAGAAACCAACAGGGAUUGCCCCAGUAACGGCGAGUGAAGCGGCAACAGCUCAAAUUUGAAAUCUGGCCCCGGGCCCGAGUUGUAAUUUGCAGAGGAUGCUUUUGGCGCGGCGCCUUCCGAGUUCCCUGGAACGGGACGCCAUAGAGGGUGAGAGCCCCGUCUGGUCGGACGCCCAGCCUCUGUAAAGCUCCUUCGACGAGUCGAGUAGUUUGGGAAUGCUGCUCUAAAUGGGAGGUAUAUGUCUUCUAAAGCUAAAUACCGGCCAGAGACCGAUAGCGCACAAGUAGAGUGAUCGAAAGAUGAAAAGCACUUUGGAAAGAGAGUGAAACAGUACGUGAAAUUGUUGAAAGGGAAACGCUUGAAGUCAGUCGCGUCUUCUGGAACUCAGCCGUGCUUCUGCUAGGCGCAUUUUCCAGUUUGACGGGUCAGCAUCGGUUUCGGUGGGCAGACAAAGGCGCAGGGAAGGUGGCCGCUCCGGUGGUGUUAUAGCCCUGCGUUGUAUGUGCCCGCUGGGACCGAGGAAUCCGGCUCGCGCCUGGGAUGCUGGCGUAAUGGCUCUAAGCGACCCGUCUUGAAACACGG
RNAcentral lists this ribosomal RNA (618 nucleotides) under uncultured fungus. RNAcentral's name for it is "eukaryotic LSU rRNA". It matches the Rfam family "Eukaryotic large subunit ribosomal RNA", at positions 24 to 664 of the family's 3401-position model. The record is from RNAcentral. Lineage: Eukaryota; Fungi.